GGGGAAUAUUGCACAAUGGGGGAAACCCUGAUGCAGCAACGCCGCGUGAGUGAUGACGGCCUUCGGGUUGUAAAGCUCUGUCUUCAGGGACGAUAAUGACGGUACCUGAGGAGGAAGCCACGGCUAACUACGUGCCAGCAGCCGCGGUAAUACGUAGGUGGCGAGCGUUGUCCGGAUUUACUGGGCGUAAAGGGAGCGUAGGCGGAUUUUUAAGUGAGAUGUGAAAUACUCGGGCGUAACCUGAGUGCUGCAUUUCAAACUGGAAGUCUAGAGUGCAGGAGAGGAGAAGGGAAUUCCUAGUGUAGCGGUGAAAUGCGUAGAGAUUAGGAAGAACACCAGUGGCGAAGGCGCUUCUCUGGACUGUAACUGACGCUGAGGCUCGAAAGCGUGGGGAGCAAAC
This 400-nucleotide ribosomal RNA is filed under the name uncultured bacterium. Its description in RNAcentral is "bacterial SSU rRNA". It matches the Rfam family "Bacterial small subunit ribosomal RNA", at positions 356 to 773 of the family's 1533-position model. The record is from RNAcentral.